GUUGCCGGUUCACAGGGAAGGCACCGAGGCUCCGAGAGGCCAGCACCUCGCUUCCAGGUGAGGAAACAGCUCUCCGCGCCCAGACGCGCCUGCCCUGAGGUGGUGAGCGAGGACCUGAGCCCAGAUCUGUGUGGCUGGGCGUCCGCAGCUCAUCCCUCCUGUCCCACGGGAACACCCAUCCGAACUGGUGAGCCGCACGAAACCGCCUCGGUGCUUCGUUCCAGGCUCUUCACUCGCAAACCCAGUCAGCGAGUUCUUUAUGGCCACGCGGUGCUAUUGAACGGAUGGCUCCGGGAACCACAGGCUGGCCUGGGAGCCGCCGCACGUGGCUCGGGCUUCCCACACGCUGGCUCCCAAAGGAGGACGGGGACGAUCUAGGAGCCGGGGCCCAGGUGCAGACGUCGGCUGCACCCUUUCGUUUCAGUUUCAGGCUGGCAAAAGGCACCAGGGACCUUGACCUUGAGCUCCUUGGGCAGCCUUGUCUCACCCAGAGCUCGAGGCUCAGCAGCAGCUGUCUCGCCCUCCGUGAGCCCCGUGCAGGCACCAGCAUGCUGGGAGGUUGGCUCUCAGCGCUCGAUUCCCUGCCUGGGCCCUGCCUGCUGCGGGCGGGCGGGCCUCCAGCACCCCAGGCGUCCGUCAGGGGCUAGAAUCCAUCCGGGGCCAGGGGGGUAGAAAUGCAUAGCCGCGGAGCCCAGACCCGGGGUGAAAUCACCACCUUUUAAACGCAGGCGAGCAGAGCUGCAGAGCGCAGAUACCCGGGCCUGGUGACGGCGACGAGGGCCACACCCUGGAAAACCACAGAAGUCCCGGCCGCCCCCGCUUUCACUGCUCAGACCUGUGGGAAACUUGUCAGACACACGCCGCGCGGGGAGGGGCCGCGGCAUCCCAGGCCCCGGCUGGCCUGGCAGGGUCCUUGCCGGGAAUCGUCUGUUUUCGGAAAGCCUGGCCCGGCCACAGCCAGCCCGGCCCGCAGCGCACGGCGGCCGCGGUUUUUUAGAAGGGCUUUGGGAGACUUUCGAAAGGUGCCCCGGGGUGGGGAAGUGAAAGGAGGGGGCCGGUUAGAAACUGCUUCUUUAUUUCUGGCCUCGCCUGAGCGGCUGCCUGACGGUUACUGCGCGGGUUCUGCUGAGUCAGAAGCAUCCCCCAGCUGCUCACCGGAAACACAGCUGUUGGGCGAAAAUAACCACAGAGCAGAGCAUCGGAGCAUCGUGCACCUUCCAGAAAAGAGGGCAGAAAACCUCAAAACAAAAGAGAAAAAUACAAAACAAGAGGCGCUGUCGAGAUCCCACGGCGGCCGGCCGGCUCCCUGAGCCAAGCCCACGGCUCUCCUCCUCGCCCACAGCGGGAGAAGGAACGCAUGGCACGCCAACUGCUUCUCCCCUGCUCCCUGCCCCAGGCCCUUCACCCCCGGACCUGCAGAUGUGACCUCAUCCGGAAAAGGGGUCUUUGCAGGCGUAAUGAACCUAAGGAGCUCAAAAUGAGGUGCAUUACCUGGUGGGCCCCGCAUCCAAAGACAGGUGUCCUUGUAAGAGGGAGGCAGGGGAUGGGACCCACAGAGGGAAAGACCAGGGGGAGACGGAGGCAGGCAUUGGAGUUACGCAUUACAAGCCAAGGAACACCAAGGAGCUGUCAUGGCAGCCAGAGAAAAUGGCUAGAGCCACCCGUGCCUUCCAUUGGCCGGGACUCUCCCACCCACCUCCCCCGCCACUCUCUCCCCUCGUCCAGUGUGGAAACAUUCACAGCGUUUUGUCACAAGUUGUCUGACAUGGGCAUUGAGGUCAGGAGGUAGGAGGGGUGCCUGGAGGACUCCAGGGACUAAGGCAGCCGUGGGCAAACUACGGCCCGCGGGCCGGAUUCGGCCCGUUUGAAAUGAAUAAAACUAAAAAAAAAAAA
Myotis myotis is the source of this 1893-nucleotide long non-coding RNA. RefSeq lists it as uncharacterized. Lineage: Eukaryota; Metazoa; Chordata; Mammalia; Chiroptera; Vespertilionidae. The record is from RefSeq and is a predicted model, not a curated record. The transcript is spliced from 2 exons.